AAAUAAAUGAUAAAUAUUUUUAUGCAUAUAUUUAUGCUGAAUUUAGAGAAGGGAAAAGUUGAGAAUAGCAUUACAACCAGCUAUUUGGUAAUUCUUGGGAAAAUGUCUGAUCCGUCUGGGAUCAAAAUAACUGGAAAAAAAUAUAUAACAAAAACAAAGACAACAGAAAUGUUGAGCCAGAGCAGGUGGAGUAGAGUCCUUUAGGAAGUUUAUUAUAGCAAAAUAAACUAUAUUUUGGCUCGCCCAAACCCCACUGUCCAUAGACCAAUAAUUCUUUCUCUACCCUCCUCUGAUUGCAGAAAAACUUAGCCCAGAAAACACAGGGACUCCCUGUGGAAUGUACUGCUGUGGAUCACUCUUCCCAAUGAAUCAAUAUUUCCUCCACUUCCUGCUUUUCUCUGGACACUUCAGGCAUCUCCCAAGAUUUAACCAAGAAUGGAAAAUAUUCCCUUUUGAGAGGAGUUUUAGGUCUCUCUGCUUUGAGAAGAGUCAAGGAUAGAGAUAAAGCAAGGUCAUCACUUCCCUAAACUUAAAUAAAUCCUACUGACAUUCAUAGAUGUUUCCAGAAAAUAUAAUGAACUGCAAGGAAUCUAUCAGAAUUAAUCCAGGCAUACUUUCUGAAAAAUGCCGAGGACCAGGAACUAAUAUUCUUUGUUUCAUUGUUUGAGAAGAGUUUAAGCAUGGAUGCUUUCCCUUCCUUAUUGCUAGUUAACUGCUAAGCCAAGCUUUUCUCAGGUUUAACAAGGUAAGUCACAGUAUAAUACUUUCCAAACUCAGGAAUUAAACACAUCAUGAGGAUUUGUACAUUUAACUUAAAACAUGAAAAUAAUUUAUUGUCCUGUCUCCUGUCUUUUCCUGAUAACUCAUUGCUAC
RNAcentral lists this long non-coding RNA (873 nucleotides) under Marmota monax (woodchuck). The record is from RNAcentral. Lineage: Eukaryota; Metazoa; Chordata; Mammalia; Rodentia; Sciuridae.